GCCGGCAUAGCUCAGUUGGUAGAGCAGCUGAUUUGUAAUCAGCAGGUCGCGGGUUCGAGUCCCUUUGCCGGCUCCA
RNAcentral lists this transfer RNA (76 nucleotides) under Bacillota bacterium. Its description in RNAcentral is "Firmicutes bacterium (gut metagenome) tRNA-Thr". It matches the Rfam family "tRNA". Rfam says of the family: Transfer RNA (tRNA) molecules are approximately 80 nucleotides in length. The record is from RNAcentral. Lineage: Bacteria; Bacillati; Bacillota.